Molecule: ribosomal RNA, 460 nt
Filed under: uncultured bacterium
Lineage: Bacteria
Description: partial 16S ribosomal RNA
Rfam family: Bacterial small subunit ribosomal RNA
Source: RNAcentral
CCUACGGGUGGCAGCAGUGAGGAAUAUUGGUCAAUGGGCGCGAGCCUGAACCAGCCAAGUAGCGUGAAGGAUGACUGCCCUACGGGUUGUAAACUUCUUUUAUAAAGGAAUAAAGUGAGGCACGUGUGCCUUUUUGUAUGUACUUUAUGAAUAAGGAUCGGCUAACUCCGUGCCAGCAGCCGCGGUAAUACGGAGGAUCCGAGCGUUAUCCGGAUUUAUUGGGUGUAAAGGGAGCGUAGAUGGGUUGUUAAGUCAGUUGUGAAAGUGGGCGGCGCAACCGUAAAAUGGCAAUUGAUACUGGGAGUCUUGAGUACAGUUGAGGGAGGCGGAAUUCGUGGUGUAGCGGUGAAAUGCGUAGAUAUCGCGAAGAACACCGAUGGCGAAGGCAGCUUCCUAAACUGCCACUGACAUUGAGGCUCGAAAGUGUGGGUAUCAAACAGGAUUAGAUACCCCUGUAGUC